Nilaparvata lugens (brown planthopper) is the source of this 3520-nucleotide long non-coding RNA. RefSeq lists it as uncharacterized. Lineage: Eukaryota; Metazoa; Arthropoda; Insecta; Hemiptera; Delphacidae. The transcript is spliced from 2 exons. The record is from RefSeq and is a predicted model, not a curated record.
AUAACUGUCUGCUUGCAUUGUUAUAACUUUCAGCAUUGUACGCCGCCUCUUUGUGUGAUAGUAUGUAAAAUUAGUGCUGUGUUUGAUAAAACCGAAAAGAUCAAAUUAUAGAGCUAUACAUUUCUCUAAGAAUUGUCCGAAAUUCACCAUGUUUUUAUAAAAAACUACGUAUUUAGCAAUUCAAUUUCUUCAUUUUUUUAACAGUGAUUUUGAGGCUAUUGUUGGAACGACGAACAAUCAACUUUGAAAGGAAAAGUGUUACUUUAUUUGUUAGCAUUGGAGUUCGUUAAUUUUACUGUAAAUUACUGAAUCUGAAAUUUUUCAGUGGUAUUAGAACUGGUAUUUAUCGAUUCGUAGUGUAUUAUAGUGAACAUAAUAUUGUUCAUAUCUACUGUCAGAACAAUUCCAACGAUUAAUUUUCAAAAUGUGUUGUGGUGACCGCUUUCAUUACAUUUCUUCAAUUAUAGGACUUUCAAUCAAUUUAUCCGCCUUUAUAUGCUUCAUGUAUUUGAAGAUUUAUGGUGCCUGCUUAUGGUCCGCAGUUGCUUUGGUUUUCUCUCUUGCCAACGUGCAACUCAAUUAUUUGAAUCUCACGAGGAAAAUUGAUCUUUGGCACUCAAUCGAUACCUUGAUGCCAAUAAGGGAUUUGGCUGUAUUUGGAAGUGUAAUCUCUUUGAGUGCCAUGGCGUGGUACAUUUUCUGCUUCUUGUAUUACCAAGAAUACAAACAGCCCGAAGGAGUUUAUUUGAUCAUGAAUGUUGUUUGGACUUUCAUGACACUGAAGUGGAACGUAUUUCUAAUCUUCACUGUGAAGCGAUGUAUCAAUGCGAUAACUGGAGGUGAUCUCCUUGCACCACUUACAUGAAGUCAUUAUAAUAACGUUGUUGCUUGAUAACAACUACGAAAUGUUUGUUUAUUUACCAAAAGUAAGACCUAUCUAUUUUAAUGUUUAAGACUUCGAUGAUUAGCACUAAUCACAUCUAUAUUAUUUUACAAUUUCAAAUAUUUAUUCGGGUAAAAGAAAGAAGACGGGGCCGCGCUACCUGUGCACUGGGCUAUUGUUCCAAAAAGGUUCAUCCUGUAACUCUCGACUAGCAUACUUUAUUGUCCACUGAUUCCGCUUCAUUACUCUCAUUUGUGGCCCCGUGUGCUUUCUUGAAGGCAAUUCUAGCUGGUAGCACCAACUUAUCUAUUACUUUUCACCUUACAUCUGUUACUUUUAUUUUCUGCAAUUACUGAACGUAAAUCAGUGAUCAAGUACUUAUAAUAUUAUUGUAUUAUUCCCAAUGGUUCAUUUGAUGAAACUCAACCUGCUCACAGGCUGUAUACAGACCAACUUGAGUUACAUAAAGUUCGAUACUUAUUGAACGUACGAUUUUUUUGCGUCCUAUCAAAUUCUAUUAGAUUGAACACAACUUGGCACAUAUGAUGUGUAUCAUGUUUUUGUCAAGUCCCAUUCAAUCUCAAAGAAUUUAUAAGGACGGCUAACAAAUGUACGUCCAAAAAUCGAUGUGGGCUUUACACACCACGUACGUUUGACUAAAUGUGUACUUGUCAUCGAUAGUUAUGUGUGUUUAUCCAAUCACUGUAUGCUACCACUGGUUUACAUCUGAAAGUGCCUUCAAGUAACCACACUGGUCCACCAAUAUUUUGCUCAGAGUGGAAACCUUAACAAUAGACCACGAAAAUGUCAAAAUUCAAUAACAAUAGGUGACCACUGAAGGGUCUCUAGAACUUCUACCUGUCCAUCCAUUGUUUUCGGCGGCCCCGGAUCCUUUCAUUAACCCAUUUAUUCAUAUUUUAAUAAGAAUCUUAAAUUUAUUAUUUUAUAGUUUUAUAUUUAUAAUUUUAUAUUAUAUUGUAGCACUAUGAGACCAGAUAGGGCGACACUAGCAAUCAACUGUUCAUUGGCAUUAUUGUUAGUCACGUGAUUUUAUUAUUGAGAGCUGUGCUAUGCUCUUACAAUUCAGUGCUUGAAUACUAUUUAUUUAGUAAAUAUGAUAGUCUAAAACUACUCAAUCUUGAAUGCUAUAUUUUUAUCAUUUUAUUCAGCUUUCUUAGUAUCUACCGUACUGUUUGGUGACUUUGCCUGCCAUAGCGGGGUUUUUCCUAGUACCAUUGAAAACAUAUUUAAUUUGAAUUUACUGGUUAAUCGUUUGGUGCAUGGCCCCGUUCUCUAUAGAUUUCUGUGAGAAUAUCGACUUCAGAUUCAUUGUUGGUGUAUGAUCACAUGAGAAACAAAAUGAGGAAAGAGCCAGGAACACAUUAUGACUUAUUUGUCGCUGCUCACACUGAAUGUACAAGCAAGCGUGUGCACUUGCUGGUGGCGUUUAGUGUGAGCAGCUACAGACAGACAAGUCACAACGUGUUCCUAUGGCUCUUUCCAGUUUUUGUUUCUCAUGUGCAAGUUUGCACAAGUGAUCAGUUUGCAUCUAAUGUGAUCGUAGGUUCCGUAGUUGCACCGUGUGUUAAUGUGUUCACACAGAGUUGUCACAAGUCUGUAUUGAUGAAUAUAAAUUACUUCAUUAGACAGUAAGAGUUCAAAUUCAUUAGAAUGGUGGUCAUUGAUUAUUGUAAUUUUCAUCCCAUUAUUCAAACGGAUUAGUCUAGGAACUUUCUCUCUUGAUUUGUGCAUAACUUAAUAAGGUGACCUAUGAAAAUUAUAAUUCGAAUUUAGAAUGAAUGACUUCUUUAUUUGUUGACGUGGCGAAGUUUGGACAGUAAUGUCCACUCUACCACGAAUUUAUUACAAGAUGGCGUGUUUUAAAAUAAUUGCUGGAUAAAAAUAAUAUUUUGUUUGAAUAUAAUUUAACGGUGAGUUUCAUAUUCAUCAAGUGGAUAAAUCCGGGCAAUAGCCUUACAUAUGACAAUGUGAUAAUCACCAUACCAUGUUGUUUGACAUGUAUUUUUGAGACAUGAAACUUAUUGAUCAGGUAAUAGCAUUUACAAGAAGAUUAGUCAAUGACCACGCUAUAUUAGUUUUCGUUUGUAAUAUUUCAUGUAAUUAUUACAUGAUAAGAAAAUUGAAAAGUAGGCAAAGUCACUUUACUGAUGUUCCAAUUAUUAAACGAGAAGAGUCCAAUAUCAACUUUUCUAUUCUUCCGAAUGGAAUAGUUGGAAUUUCAGCUGUCUUUCUGCGUCUUCUGAGUUUCUCAACAUUGAAAACAUGUAGGCCUAUCCUUCUCAAACUAUAGUUAUUCCAUUUUAUUACUAUGUAUUUCAAAUAACAGGUCUUGUGACUCAAAAAGUUCCUUUAUAAAGUCCAAUCUUAUUAUCAACCUUCCAUUUACGCACUAGGCUGGAGCUUAUCAGGGCUCCACCCUCAUUAAAUAAAAAAAUUUGCAUUAAAUUUGCACGGAUGGGCUUGUAAAAACCCAGACAAUUCAAUCAAAACAUCACCUUUAAGUUUUAUUAUAAUUCAUUCAACCCUCAUCUGAUGUCAAUUAAAAUAAGUCAUAUUACUGUAGCAUAAGAUUCAUUUAGUACGAAUAAUUAUUAUAAAUAUUAAUUUUAUUAUUAU